GAUGAACGCUGGCGGCGUGCUUAACACAUGCAAGUCGAACGAAGCACUUUAUUUGAUUUCCUUCGGGACUGAUUAUUUUGUGACUGAGUGGCGGACGGGUGAGUAACGCGUGGGUAACCUGCCUUGUACAGGGGGAUAACAGUUGGAAACGGCUGCUCAUACCGCAUAAGCGCACGGCAUCGCAUGAUGCAGUGUGAAAAACUCCGGUGGUAUAUGAUGGACCCGCGUUGGAUUAGCUAGGUGGUGAGGUAACGGCCCACCAAGGCGACGAUCCAUAGCCGACCUGAGAGGGUGACCGGCCACAUUUGGACUGAGACACGGCCCAAACUCCUACGGGAGGCAGCAGUGGGGAAUAUUGCACAAUGGGCGUAAGCCUGAUGCAGCGACGCCGCGUGAGCGAAGAAGUAUUUCGGUAUGUAAAGCUCUAUCAGCAGGGAAGAUAAUGACGGUACCUGACUAAGAAGCACCGGCUAAAUACGUG
RNAcentral lists this ribosomal RNA (481 nucleotides) under uncultured bacterium. Its description in RNAcentral is "partial 16S ribosomal RNA". It matches the Rfam family "Bacterial small subunit ribosomal RNA", at positions 28 to 507 of the family's 1533-position model. The record is from RNAcentral.